UACGCAGGUGGCGAGCGUUGUCCGGAAUCACUGGGCGUAAAGGGUGCGUAGGCGGCUGGGUAAGUCGCAGGUUAAAGCCCGGGGCUCAACCUCGGAAAGGCCUGCGAUACUGCCUGGCUUGAGGGCCGGAGAGGCUGGCGGAAUUCCCGGUGUAGGGGUGAAAUCCGUAGAUAUCGGGAGGAACACCGGUGGGGAAGACGGCCAGCUGGACGGUCCCUGACGCUGAGGCACGAAAGCGUGGGGAGUAAACCGG
RNAcentral lists this ribosomal RNA (253 nucleotides) under uncultured bacterium. RNAcentral describes it as "partial 16S ribosomal RNA". It matches the Rfam family "Bacterial small subunit ribosomal RNA", at positions 524 to 776 of the family's 1533-position model. The record is from RNAcentral.